GUGCCAGCAGCCGCGGUAAUACCGGCAGCCCAAGUGAUGGCCGAUCUUAUUGGGCCUAAAGCGUCCGUAGCUGGCUGCGCAAGUCCGUCGGGAAAUCCACUCGCCCAACGAGUGGGCGUCCGACGGAAACUGCACAGCUUGGGACCGGAAGGCUCAGGGAGUACGUCUGGGGUAGGAGUGAAAUCCCGUAAUCCCGGACGGACUACCGAUGGCGAAAGCACUCUGAGAAGACGGCUUCGACAGUGAGGGACGAAAGCUCGGGUCUCAAACCGGAUUAGAUACCCGAGUAGUCC
RNAcentral lists this ribosomal RNA (293 nucleotides) under uncultured bacterium. Its description in RNAcentral is "partial 16S ribosomal RNA". It matches the Rfam family "Archaeal small subunit ribosomal RNA", at positions 455 to 747 of the family's 1478-position model. The record is from RNAcentral.